AGUGAACGCUGGCGGUGGGCCUAACACAUGCAAGUCGAACGGCAGCACAGGAGAGCUUGCUCUCUGGGUGGCGAGUGGCGGACGGGUGAGGAAUACAUCGGAAUCUACUUUUUCGUGGGGGAUAACGUAGGGAAACUUACGCUAAUACCGCAUACGACCUACGGGUGAAAGCAGGGGAUCUUCGGACCUUGCGCGAUUGAAUGAGCCGAUGUCGGAUUAGCUAGUUGGCGGGGUAAAGGCCCACCAAGGCGACGAUCCGUAGCUGGUCUGAGAGGAUGAUCAGCCACACUGGAACUGAGACACGGUCCAGACUCCUACGGGAGGCAGCAGUGGGGAAUAUUGGACAAUGGGCGCAAGCCUGAUCCAGCCAUACCGCGUGGGUGAAGAAGGCCUUCGGAUUGUAAAGCCCUUUUGUUGGGAAAGAAAUCCAGCUGGUUAAUACCCGGUUGGGAUGACGGUACCCAAAGAAUAAGCACCGGCUAACUUCGUGCCAGCAGCCGCCGUAA
This 506-nucleotide ribosomal RNA is filed under the name uncultured bacterium. Its description in RNAcentral is "partial 16S ribosomal RNA". It matches the Rfam family "Bacterial small subunit ribosomal RNA", at positions 29 to 523 of the family's 1533-position model. The record is from RNAcentral.